GCUUAUUUUUUUAGCUUAUAAGUUCAAAUUAUAAGUUCAAAAAAUAUUAUAAACAAACAGUUCAACCUAAAUUUAAAGCUUAUAAACUAAGACAAACACCCUCUCAAUAUGAUCACUUUUUAAUUUUUUACAUAUUCAAUAAGUAAUAAGAAAAAGAGGCUCGAUUUUUAUCAUCCUGGCAUCUCCACUCCACUGCAAUUGGAUUUAACUAUCAAGGUUGGUAUCACCCUCUUUUCCUUACAUCUCCAACUUUUCUCACACCCUUCUAUCUUUCAUCCUUAAAGAUGACAUUAAUUUCCAAGAGCCUCAUGAUCCUCAUUGAUUGCAAAGAACAUAUUCAUUGAAAAAGAAAACCAAAAUCAGUAAAGGGGGAAAAUAAAAAGAGCAUACCUCCAUCAUCAUCGUCCUCAGUU
RNAcentral lists this unclassified non-coding RNA (413 nucleotides) under Hevea brasiliensis (rubber tree). The record is from RNAcentral. Lineage: Eukaryota; Viridiplantae; Streptophyta; Magnoliopsida; Malpighiales; Euphorbiaceae.